Molecule: long non-coding RNA, 232 nt
Filed under: Callithrix jacchus (white-tufted-ear marmoset)
Lineage: Eukaryota; Metazoa; Chordata; Mammalia; Primates; Cebidae
Description: lncRNA (ENSCJAG00000083412.1)
Source: RNAcentral
UGUAUAAAAAUACACACGUGAAGAAAAUACUGUAGUAUAUCUGUACAUACCCAUCACCAGCUUGCACACUUGCUGACUGAUGGCCAGUCUUGCUCUUUCUUAGGUCCACAUCCAGCCAAAUCUGCCUCUCUGAAUAAUUUUGAAGCAAACUCUAGAUGUCAGCUUAUUUCAUCUGUAGUAUUUGAACAUGCAUCUGUAAAGGGCAUGUCACUGGUGGUAUACUUCACAGUUA